Molecule: long non-coding RNA, 377 nt
Filed under: Naja naja (Indian cobra)
Lineage: Eukaryota; Metazoa; Chordata; Lepidosauria; Squamata; Elapidae
Description: lncRNA (ENSNNAG00000017041.1)
Source: RNAcentral
CUGAAGGGAGGGAGGGAAGGAACAGGAGCCCAAGAGCUCAGGACAUUCUACCCUCCCCAGGCAGGGAGCCGAAGCCAGGAGGAGGAAUUAGAGGCACCUUCCCCAUCCUGCUGCCCUUCGUCUCAGGGAACCGGCUGAACUGUUCAACCAUCAUCCAGCCCCCGGGACUGCCAGCCCUAGAUCUUCCUGCUGCUGCUGCUUCCACUGCUAGAGAAAUCGGAAUUUGCUGGGAAAAAAAACCGAACCAAAGCAAACCGAACCAAGAGCUUUUCAUCGCCCGGCCGAGGAAGGAAGGCAUGCUUCGCUGUUUCUGCUCCUCCUGUUUUCAUCCCCGUUAAAAGAUGCACUUUCUGUUGGAUGCUGUCACCGCGCUGAAU